This 607-nucleotide long non-coding RNA is filed under the name Daucus carota (carrot). Its description in RNAcentral is "long non-coding RNA (DCAR_LNC000291)". Lineage: Eukaryota; Viridiplantae; Streptophyta; Magnoliopsida; Apiales; Apiaceae. The record is from RNAcentral.
CCCACAAUAAAUUAUACAUAAAAUUCAUAUAUCCAGUAUCUAAAAUCCAAUACCCAAAAUCCAACAUCCAACAUCCAAUAAAUCAUACAUAAAUCAUAAUAAACUUGACUAAUUAAAUCGACUAAUUUACAUCUCAAAACUUGAACCUAAACCCAUCAAAAUCCCACUUCCUGCCAGUAGCUGUCCUUGAAGCUUUUUCUAAUCCUAAAGUAAAAUAAACAAUUCACAUGUCGAUCAAUAAAACAAAAAAUUAUAAAUAAGGUAAUGAAUUGAGGAAAUGCAUGUCUUAAUCUGGUACUGAGGUCACAACAUUUGUACAGGAAAGUUGGAGGAGUUUGGAUACAUCAAUGGACCAUUUCAGUCCUUGGCUAUGCCUCUGCUUCCAACUACCAAGUCCAUAUAAAAACAUAAGAAUCCUAAGCAAUAAUGGAAUGAGCCACAGGCGAAGAAGCUACAGCCACAUUACUAACCUGUUCAGCAGUUGGCCAAUCCUUCGAAAAUUUUACAGCAAACAGAACAUGACUCUUUAUUCUCAUUUGCCUCAAGUAUUUCCUUGAUACAUAAUUAGAAAUCUGCACCAACUAAGUAUGAAAAGCGGAUGGUAAAU